GGCGUGAGCCACCGCGCCCGGCCCCGGCCUAAUUUCUUUUUUAAAAGCAAACAAUUCAUCCUUAAGUAUUAGAAAUAGCAUAAAUUUUAUUUUAUUCUAGAAUAUUAUUAAAUUCUAAAAUAGCAGUUUUAAAUAAUUUUAAAUUUAUGAAAGUUGAAAAAAGUUUUGAAUUUUAUUUUAAAACAAGUCAAAGAUAUAUACUUAUUUUUGGUGUUUCCGCAUAGGCAUAAGGAACACUUUUGGAUUUUAAAAAUAACAACUUAUUGGAUGAUAGUGAAGUUACAGAGAUUAUAGUAGGUAUACCUGGAGAUACCAGCAGGAACAUAGUAGAAAUAAUAAGCCAAAAACACUUUUAUUUAUACUGUAACCAAUCUCCUUGGAAAACUUUAGAAAACACAAAAAUAUACAAGCAUACAUUCCAUUUAUUCAGCCUGAUGACGUCAUCACACAUACAGCCUCUGGAAAACCCCACUCUACACUCAAGAGAGAAUGAAAAGUGAAAAAGACAAAGGACAUUUUAGUAUUAUGAAAAUGCUUUUGACCUCAAAAGCCCCUGAAUCAAAGGGAAAGGUGAAAAGGAAAUCGCCAUUGGCAAUGGUAGAGGCUAUGGAAGAUUGGGUCUUGCAAAAUUUAUUAGAAGACGUUUCUGAAGAGAAGACCUUCUGAGGCACCCCUUUGCAGAGAGACCAUGGUUAUUCAGGUUUGGGCAUCUGGCAGAUAUUUUCUUGAAAAUGAACGAAGUGAGCCUGUCUCAAGGAAACUGACAGUAUUUGUUGUCAAUGAUAAAAUUCAAGCUUUCAAAUGGAAAUUAGAAUUUUGGAAAACCCAAACCCGCCACCAUGAGCUUGACAGCUUCCAGUCAAGCUGUCCCCGGUGUAGACCUCGUAUUUGAGCUCCAGACUCUCACUCUACCUAUCUAUAUAUAUACUGUGUCCACAUAAAUGUUUCAUAUUCUAAAUUUAA
RNAcentral lists this long non-coding RNA (963 nucleotides) under Homo sapiens (human). RNAcentral describes it as "HSALNT0343290". The record is from RNAcentral. Lineage: Eukaryota; Metazoa; Chordata; Mammalia; Primates; Hominidae.